CUUGAUUUUCCACAAUUCGAUGGGGAUAACCCUCAAUUCUGGAAAACUAAGUGCGAGAAGUAUUUUGAUGUCUAUGGAGUCAGUAAGGAUGUGUGGGUGCGGGUGGCGACCCUGCACUUCACGGGUAACGCUGCUAGAUGGCUGCAAUUGUAUGAGUCGGGGAUGAAAAACAUAGAGUGGGAAGGGCUGUGUGCUACACUCUGUAGCAAAUUCGGACGCGACCAAUAUCAGGCGCAACUCCGUCAAUUUGCUCAGUUAUCACAGACGGGUUCGGUGUCGGAUUACAUGACACAGUUUGAGGAGUUGACGCAUAAUCUGCUAGCUCACAAUCCUGGGUUUGAU
Molecule: ribosomal RNA, 342 nt
Filed under: Triticum aestivum (bread wheat)
Lineage: Eukaryota; Viridiplantae; Streptophyta; Magnoliopsida; Poales; Poaceae
Description: partial small subunit ribosomal RNA
Source: RNAcentral